RNAcentral lists this ribosomal RNA (430 nucleotides) under uncultured bacterium. RNAcentral describes it as "partial 16S ribosomal RNA". It matches the Rfam family "Bacterial small subunit ribosomal RNA", at positions 29 to 506 of the family's 1533-position model. The record is from RNAcentral.
AACGAACGCUGGCGGCAGGCUUAACACAUGCAAGUCGAACGCCCCGCCAGGGGAGUGGCAGACGGGUGAGUAACGCGUGGGAAUCUACCCAUCCCUACGGAAUAACGCAUGGAAACGUGUGCUAAUACCGUAUACGCCCUACGGGGGAAAGAUUUAUCGGGGAUGGAUGAGCCCGCGUUGGAUUAGCUAGUUGGUGGGGUAAAGGCCUACCAAGGCGACGAUCCAUAGCUGGUCUGAGAGGAUGAUCAGCCACAUUGGGACUGAGACACGGCCCAAACUCCUACGGGAGGCAGCAGUGGGGAAUAUUGGACAAUGGGCGCAAGCCUGAUCCAGCCAUGCCGCGUGAGUGAUGAAGGCCUUAGGGUUGUAAAGCUCUUUCACCGGAGAAGAUAAGGACGGUAUCCGGAGAAGAAGCCCCGGCUAACUUCGU